Cyprinus carpio (common carp) is the source of this 2901-nucleotide long non-coding RNA. Lineage: Eukaryota; Metazoa; Chordata; Actinopteri; Cypriniformes; Cyprinidae. The record is from Ensembl.
CAAAAGUAAAGAAAUCUUGGACCGGUAAGAUCAACACACCAUUUUUAGAAUUUCUUUGAAAAUCAGUUUCGGAAGGUUUUAAUUAAUGUUUGUGAAACUCUGAGAUUUAUCUGUGGAUCUCAUUCUAUUUAUUUGUCAAUAUGUUUUAUUUUUGUUAAUCUCAUCAAAAUCAUUUAUUUGUGGAUCAUAAUCUGUUUAUUUGGAAUAACGCAACAAUUCUAUCUCCAUAAAUAAUGACCAGUCGUACACUCUGGGAAACACCUUCUAUUCCCCAAUGCAGAGCUCAGCUCUGAUACUUUCAGUUUCGCUAAACGUGUAGUGUGUGCGAAGUUUGGACGCCGAGAACAAAAGAGCCAUUCAGAACUUCACCAAUGUCGAAUCUUUUAAUGCUGCUGUCAUUUUGCUUCGUCUAUCAUAGCGGUCAGUGUAAUUUGUUUAUAAAAUGUAAAUCGUUCUGAUUUUCAGUUCGAGCUAGAAUUCUAGUUCUAAUCGAUUGUUUUUCUGUUGCACCACUAAAGUCAUGUUCUUUUGCUGACAUUUGUGAAUAGAUGGAAAUUCCCCAGUAUAUUAUAUCAUCAUUACACAUCAUGACAUCACUGACACAUCUUUGCAGUUCAUUCCAGUUCAUUUAUUAUUAAGCAUUGUUUGGUCAGGGAUGAAUGAGGCUUGUUUGUUUGCUCUGAAAGACCGAUAAGACCCUCAUAAGAUGAACAGUUCUGAACUCUGAUGAAAGUGAAAAUAUACUCUCAUGCUGUAUAAUUUAAUUUUCAUGAGCAAGCUCAUGGCUUGAACCAACAACCUUAAUCUUUACAUUUACUUCUGAUGCUAAAUAUUGGAGAAACUCCACCAUCAGUUCACAAUUGUUGAAUUGCGUGGUGAAUUGUGUUUUUUUUUUAUUUUUUAGAAUUCAUACAUUUGUUUUGAAUGAAUCUGUAUUUUAGGAGCCUCCACUGUGAAAUUCAAAAAUGGAGACAAUGCCACACUGACAUGUAAAUAUGAGGCCAAAGACAUUUCAGAUAUUCGCUUCAUUCGACAAGGAAAACCAGUACACUUUGCUGACAUCCCCAUUUGUGAAGAAUAUACAAAAGGAAGUGGCCGAGUAUGUAAAAAAGAAGCAUGUGACAUCAUCAUCAAGGAUCUGAUCUUCAGUGACGCUGGGAAUUACAUUUUUAGAUUCAAUUACAAAAAUGCUCUGACGGAUCUGACGUACCAACUUCAUAUUUAUGAUGAGAUUUGUGUGAACAUCGGUGAGCAGCUGAAGUUAGAUGUUCUGUUGUCAGAAGCUGAUAAAGUGCAGCAUCAGAGCAGCGGAAGCAAAAAGUGGAAGGAGGUUUGGAAGAGAGGCCAUGGUGUUCAAAAUGAUCAGCUGAAUGAUAGAGAUGGAAACUUGAUCAUCAAUAACUUUACAGCCAGUGAUUCAGGAACAUACAAAGUUUUGGGCUCUGAAGGAGAAACCUUGAUCACAGUGACUGUUGAAGGAUCUCGUUCAGGUGGUAAACUCAAGAGUGAUGCUGAACAACACAAGCACUGGAUUGGACCGGCUGGGCUGCCUGGGUUCGUUUGGGUGGUUCUUUGCCUUUUUUAAAAGAAGAAAGAUACACCGAUGUCUGGAUGGAGGUCUGAGAAGGUUCUACAUUUGAUGAAGAACCAUCUUCAUGAAUAUUAAAAAUUAUGUUCUAGAAUAUUAAUGCAAUCCAGAUGUGCUACAUCUGCCAUAUUGUCAUGUGACUUAUUUCCGAAAGUAGUAGGACAUCCAGGUACUUUCUGACAGCUGUUUUAUAAGUAUUACAAGGUUUUAUUGCCAUCUGAAUCCAUAAUGUCAGUGUGUUUCUCCCACCACCCGCAUAUUUCCCUGACUGAAUUACCUACUGUUUUUUUUUUUUUUUGAACAAACAAAAAGGUGAUGUGGUAAUUUCACUGCUGCCAAAUCCACAUCCGAGUUUACAAGAUGGGAUCAAUUUUAAAUUCACUGUUUAAAUUCUUUUUGGCAGCUCCAUAUGAUAACUGUUGUGCUUUACUGUAAUUUGCAUUAAAGAUCUACACUUUUAUUACUGAAAGAUAUAUAGCAUAUUAUUGCACCAAAGGACAUGUAAUGCAAUUUUUAAUGUUUGUUUGUAUGUAUGUAUGUAUGUAUGUAUGUAUGUAUGUAUGUAUUUAUUUAUUUAUGUAUGUCUUUUAAUGUCACUUUAAGUCCCUCAGUUGUCCACCAGAGGUCUCACUCCACAGAGUAUUGACUAUUGGACUAUAGUUCCCAGGAAGCCUCAUACCUGGACUAAUUUCCGCUCACCUGAUCGUUGCACUCAGAUUAUUUAUAAACUGUGUUUUGCUCUCUCUUCGUGAAGUCUUGUUUAUUGUGUAUCUUGCCUGUGUAUCGACACUGUCUGGACUUUUACUUCACAACCCUAGCUGCCUGCCCUAGUCUGUUGUUUGUUGUGGACUGGACUUGUGUUUGUUUGCUGCCUGCCCUGAUCCUCUGCCUGGGUUUGACCACGCUUACUGUUUUGCCUCUGACAAUCCUGGUAUUUCACCCACUGCCUGUUUGUACUUUGAGACUGCUUCCACUAGAUGAACCACACAUGGAUUCCACUCAACCAGAGUCUGUGUUACAAUCAGGCUGAAACGAUUUUGUCUAAAAUAGAACGACUCAUAUGUGGAAUCUAUCAGUCAGGAGCUGCACAAUGUUUGACAGAUUUUACACUGCUAUUGUCAAUUAAGUAAACAAACUGAUUAAAGCUAUUCUUUUUCUGAUGUUUAGAAUUAUACCUUUUAUUAUGUUAAAGAAAAAAAAAUUGUACAGUCUUUACUGUGUGGGCCAAAUGUGUAAUUCUCUAACCUGCUAAAAACAGUAAACAUUUACAAGUUCUCUUAUAUUACAAAAUAAAUAAAAAAUAAAUGAGAGCA